This 317-nucleotide ribosomal RNA is filed under the name uncultured prokaryote. RNAcentral's name for it is "bacterial SSU rRNA". It matches the Rfam family "Bacterial small subunit ribosomal RNA", at positions 355 to 666 of the family's 1533-position model. The record is from RNAcentral.
UGAGGAAUUUUGCGCAAUGGGGGAAACCCUGACGCAGCAACGCCGCGUGGGCGAUGAAGGCCUUCGGGUCGUAAAGCCCUGUCGGGCGGGAAGAACGCUCUUGGUCGAAGGACUGGGGGGUGACGGUACCGCCAGAGGAAGCACCGGCUAACUCCGUGCCAGCAGCCGCGGUAAUACGGAGGGUGCAAGCGUUAUUCGGAAUUACUGGGCGUAAAGGGCGUGCAGGCGGGAGAGCAAGUCUGAUGGGAAAGCCCGGGGCUUAACCCCGGAAGGGCAUUGGAAACUGCUGUUCAUGAGUUCUGGAGAGGAAGGGAGAA